RNAcentral lists this ribosomal RNA (497 nucleotides) under uncultured bacterium. RNAcentral's name for it is "partial 16S ribosomal RNA". It matches the Rfam family "Bacterial small subunit ribosomal RNA", at positions 28 to 507 of the family's 1533-position model. The record is from RNAcentral.
GAUGAACGCUGGCGGCGUGCCUAAUACAUGCAAGUCGAGCGAACAGACGCGGAGCUUGCUCCUUCGACGUUAGCGGCGGACGGGUGAGUAACACGUAUGUAACCUACCUAUAUGACUGGGAUAACUUCGAGAAACCGGAGCUAAUACCGGAUAAUAUUUCGAUCCGCAUUGUUCGAUAGUGAAAGAUGGCUUUGCUAUCACUUAUAGAUGGACAUGCGCCGUAUUAGAUAGUUGGUACGGUCACGGCUUACCAAGGCAACGAUACGUAGCCGACCUGAGAGGGUGAUCGGCCACCCUGGAGCGGGAACAGGGUCAUGACGCCUACGGUAGGCAGCAGAAGGGUAUCGGAGGCAAUGGGGGAAAGCCUUACGGAGCAACGCGGAGUGAGUGAUGAAGGCCUUGCGAGCGUAAAAACGUGUUAUUAGGUAAGAACAAACGUGAAAGGAAACGUGCAGGUCUUGACGGUAACUAAUCAGAAAGCCACGGCUAACUACGUG